Molecule: ribosomal RNA, 460 nt
Filed under: uncultured bacterium
Lineage: Bacteria
Description: partial 16S ribosomal RNA
Rfam family: Bacterial small subunit ribosomal RNA
Source: RNAcentral
CCUACGGGCGACAGCAGUGAGGAAUAUUGGUCAAUGGACGAGAGUCUGAACCAGCCAAGUAGCGUGAAGGAUGACUGCCCUAUGGGUUGUAAACUUCUUUUAUAUGGGAAUAAAACGUUCCACGUGUGGGAUUUUGUAUGUACCAUAUGAAUAAGGAUCGGCUAACUCCGUGCCAGCAGCCGCGGUAAUACGGAGGAUCCGAGCGUUAUCCGGAUUUAUUGGGUUUAAAGGGAGCGUAGGUGGAUUGUUAAGUCAGUUGUGAAAGUUUGCGGCUCAACCGUAAAAUUGCAGUUGAAACUGGCAGUCUUGAGUACAGUAGAGGUGGGCGGAAUUCGUGGUGUAGCGGUGAAAUGCUUAGAUAUCACGAAGAACUCCGAUUGCGAAGGCAGUUCACUGAACUGCAACUGACACUGAGGCUCGAAAGUGUGGGUAUCAAACAGGAUUAGAUACCCCGGUAGUC